AGUGAACGCUGGCGGUAGGCCUAACACAUGCAAGUCGAAUGGCAGCACAGUAAGAGCUUGCUCUUACGGGUGGCGAGUGGCGGACGGGUGAGGAAUACAUCGGAAUCUACUUUUUCGUGGGGGAUAACGUAGGGAAACUUACGCUAAUACCGCAUACGACCUACGGGUGAAAGCAGGGGAUCUUCGGACCUUGCGCGAUUGAAUGAGCCGAUGUCGGAUUAGCUAGUUGGCGGGGUAAAGGCCCACCAAGGCGACGAUCCGUAGCUGGUCUGAGAGGAUGAUCAGCCACACUGGAACUGAGACACGGCCCAGACUCCUACGGGAGGCAGCAGUGGGGAAUAUUGGACAAUGGGCGCAAGCCUGAUCCAGCCAUACCGCGUGGGUGAAGAAGGCCUUCGGGUUGUAAAGCCCUUUUGUUGGGAAAGAAAAGCAGCAGGUUAAUACCCCGCUGUUCUGACGGUACCCAAAGAAUAAGCACCGGCUAACUUCGUG
This 492-nucleotide ribosomal RNA is filed under the name uncultured bacterium. RNAcentral describes it as "partial 16S ribosomal RNA". It matches the Rfam family "Bacterial small subunit ribosomal RNA", at positions 29 to 507 of the family's 1533-position model. The record is from RNAcentral.